UACGGGGGGAGCAAGCGUUGUUCGGAUUUACUGGGCGUAAAGGGCGCGUAGGCGGCCACGACAAGUCGGUUGUGAAAUCUCCGGGCUUAACUCGGAACGGUCAACCGAUACUGUCGGGCUAGAGUGCAGAAGGGGCAACUGGAAUUCUCGGUGUAGCGGUGAAAUGCGUAGAUAUCGAGAGGAACACCUGCGGCGAAGGCGGGUUGCUGGGCUGACACUGACGCUGAGGCGCGAAAGCCAGGGGAGCGAACGGGAUUAGAAACCCCCGUAGUCC
This 274-nucleotide ribosomal RNA is filed under the name uncultured bacterium. RNAcentral's name for it is "partial 16S ribosomal RNA". It matches the Rfam family "Bacterial small subunit ribosomal RNA", at positions 524 to 796 of the family's 1533-position model. The record is from RNAcentral.